UCUUUGCUAGUAUAUCGGUUAGUACACGCGCCUGUCAUAGGGCCGCGCGAAAGCUGGGUUCGACUCCCAGGCAGAGAG
Molecule: non-coding RNA, 78 nt
Organism: Tephrocybe sp. NHM501043
Lineage: Eukaryota; Fungi; Basidiomycota; Agaricomycetes; Agaricales; Lyophyllaceae
Source: the annotation of a GenBank genome assembly